CCAUGCAGUCGAACGAUGAUGCCCAGCUUGCUGGGUGGAUUAGUGGCGAACGGGUGAGUAACACGUGAGUAACCUGCCCCUGACUCUGGGAUAAGCGUUGGAAACGACGUCUAAUACUGGAUAUGAUCACUGGCCGCAUGGUCUGGUGGUGGAAAGAUUUUUUGGUUGGGGAUGGACUCGCGGCCUAUCAGCUUGUUGGUGAGGUAAUGGCUCACCAAGGCGACGACGGGUAGCCGGCCUGAGAGGGUGACCGGCCACACUGGGACUGAGACACGGCCCAGACUCCUACGGGAGGCAGCAGUGGGGAAUAUUGCACAAUGGGCGAAAGCCUGAUGCAGCAACGCCGCGUGAGGGAUGACGGCCUUCGGGUUGUAAACCUCUUUUAGUAGGGAAGAAGCGAAAGUGACGGUACCUGCAGAAAAAGCACCGGCUAACUACGUGCCAGCAGCCGCGGUAAUACGUAGGGUGCAAGCGUUGUCCGGAAUUAUUGGGCGUAAAGAGCUCGUAGGCGGUUUGUCGCGUCUGCUGUGAAAUCCCGAGGCUCAACCUCGGGCUUGCAGUGGGUACGGGCAGACUAGAGUGCGGUAGGGGAGAUUGGAAUUCCUGGUGUAGCGGUGAAAA
RNAcentral lists this ribosomal RNA (621 nucleotides) under Curtobacterium sp. AIR-R2A-II-3. RNAcentral's name for it is "bacterial SSU rRNA". It matches the Rfam family "Bacterial small subunit ribosomal RNA", at positions 53 to 687 of the family's 1533-position model. Lineage: Bacteria; Bacillati; Actinomycetota; Actinomycetes; Micrococcales; Microbacteriaceae. The record is from RNAcentral.